UGGGGGAUAUUGCACAAUGGGGGGAAACCCGUGAUGCAGCGACGCCGCGUGGAGGAAGAAGGUUUUCGGAUUGUAAACUCCUGUCGUUAGGGACGAUAAUGACGGUACCUAACAAGAAAGCACCGGCUAACUACGUGCCAGCAGCCGCGGUAAAACGUAGGGUGCAAGCGUUGUCCGGAAUUACUGGGUGUAAAGGGAGCGCAGGCGGGAAGACAAGUUGGAAGUGAAAACCAUGGGCUCAACCCAUGAAUUGCUUUCAAAACUGUUUUUCUUGAGUAGUGCAGAGGUAGAUGGAAUUCCCGGUGUAGCGGUGGAAUGCGUAGAUAUCGGGAGGAACACCAGUGGCG
Molecule: ribosomal RNA, 347 nt
Filed under: uncultured bacterium
Lineage: Bacteria
Description: bacterial SSU rRNA
Rfam family: Bacterial small subunit ribosomal RNA
Source: RNAcentral